This is a non-coding RNA of Pelobates cultripes (western spadefoot toad), 243 nucleotides long. Lineage: Eukaryota; Metazoa; Chordata; Amphibia; Anura; Pelobatidae. The record is from the annotation of a GenBank genome assembly.
UGAAUUUUUCUAGUUUGGCCAGUGUUUUGGUAAAGAAUUUAUGCUGUCCGCGGUUAGGGCUAUAAAUGCUUGCGAAAGUGUAGGUGUGGUGUGCGAUGGUGCCCUUCAAGAAGAUGAACCUCCCCUCAGGGUCCGUCAUGGUGUCUAUGUGGUGGAACGGGACUAUGCGGGAGAACAGAAUCGCCACUCCCGUUUUCUUAGACUCUGGGUGAUUGGCGUAGUACCCCUGUGGAAAGCGUCUAU